RNAcentral lists this ribosomal RNA (118 nucleotides) under Salvator merianae (Argentine black and white tegu). The record is from RNAcentral. Lineage: Eukaryota; Metazoa; Chordata; Lepidosauria; Squamata; Teiidae.
AAGAAUAGCCUGACCGUUUAGGCUGCCCUACAUUGAUCUUAAUCUUAGAAGCUAGGCAGGGUUGGCCUUGUUAGUACUUGAGUGAAAUACCAGCUAGGCAUUCUAGGUGCUAUGGGUU